UGGGGAAUAUUGCACAAUGGGCGAAAGCCUGAUGCAGCAACGCCGCGUGAGUGAUGAAGGCCUUCGGGUUGUAAAGCUCUGUCUUUUGGGACGAUAAUGACGGUACCAAAGGAGGAAGCCACGGCUAACUACGUGCCAGCAGCCGCGGUAAUACGUAGGUGGCAAGCGUUGUCCGGAUUUACUGGGCGUAAAGGAUGCGUAGGCGGAUUUUUAAGUGAGAUGUGAAAACCCUAAGCUUAACUUGGGGACUGCAUUUCAUACUGGAAAUCUAGAGUGCGGGAGAGGAGAAUGGAAUUCCUAGUGUAGCGGUGAAAAUGCGUAGAGAUUAGGAAGAACACCAGUGGCGAAGGCGAUUCUCUGGACCGUAACUGACGCUGAGGCAUGAAAGCGUGGGUAGCAAACAGGAUUAGAUACCCUGGUAGUCCACGCCGUAAACGAUGAGUACUAGGUGUAGGAGGUAUCGACCCCCUUCUGUGCCGCAGUUAACACAAUAAGUACUCCGCCUGGGAAGUACGAUCGCAAGAUUAAAACUCAAAGGAAUUGACGGGGUCAUAGCUGUUUCCU
This 564-nucleotide ribosomal RNA is filed under the name uncultured bacterium. Its description in RNAcentral is "partial 16S ribosomal RNA". It matches the Rfam family "Bacterial small subunit ribosomal RNA", at positions 355 to 1375 of the family's 1533-position model. The record is from RNAcentral.